AACUAUGUGACAGAUGCAAGAGAUACACGAGAAUUGAAAAUGCGGCGAGACAGUCGGGACUUAAAGAGAGCUAACUAGAUUACUAUGUAUUCCGGAUCAUCAAUCAGCUUCUUCACACUUCUCCUGAAAUCCGAAAGGUCUUCAUCCAAUGUCUUGUUAUUUGCAACACAUACUCUUCUGAUGGAUAAAUGCCUGUCGACUUCCGUUUGUUGUCGAUCAUAUUCCUGCAUGGUUGCGACGACAUCCCGAAGCUGUUGCUUCAUAGACCUCCCUUCACGCUGAACUUCAAGUUGGGUCGAUUCUAUCUGGCGUUGAACUUCAGCAAGAAGCGCUUCCAGUCUUUCUUUCUCCUCUGUAAGCUCAGCCUUCCGGUCCACGGCAGCCUGAUAAGAACUGCGAUGUUCUUUUAGAGUUUGCUUUCCUGCAGUCAGUCGGUCUUCCAGUUUGUCGAAACCUUCUUCAGCAGCUAUCGACGACUCUAUCUUGUCACAGUUCAGUCUAUAGACUUCAGUGCCAUACGCAAAAUGUUUGGCAAACUCUUCGCACUCAUGCCGAAAUUCAGGAGUCUUGAUGAAGCAGUCUUCGCCAGAACUCAACUCAGCAAGCAGAUGUUUUAUUCUGCAUUCGAGGGCUGAGUUAGAAGCAAUCUGGGAGUACCCUCCUUUUGUCAGCUGGUAUAACUCCUCCCAUUUAGCCUUAACAUCAUCGAAAGCCAUGGGUGUCGAAGAGUCAGAAGGGUCAGAACUAGAAGGGAGGGGCUCUUCAUAUCUUGGUUCUAUUACUCCCAGGAUUUCGUCUACUGCAUCUAGAUCAGCCGACUCGACGUCUGAAAGAUCAGCAGUCGAUUCUUCAGCUGGUUCUGGUGUUCGCACACUUGAUUGAUGAACUGCGCCUAUGUUUGCUUCCUGCAAAGGUGUAGUAGAUGUCGAUGUCGGCAUGGCCAUGGACACAAUCUCUGAAGGUAUAGCAGCUGCGGAGCUGAGGCUUGAUGUUGUUCUAAAAUAAGUGCAUAAGAAAAAUGAAAUAAGCUGAAAAAUUCUGACGCCAACAACACAUGCUCUCGGACUGACAUUAUAUGUUUAUCAUUGAACAAAAGGAAAUGAAAUUAAGUAACAUAAAAUGAUGCCAAUGAUCUCAAACGGAAUAUAUUAAUCUCAAAAAAAAGAAAAAGAAAAAGAAACAAACAAAUGGUAGGGAGAAGAUAGGAAAGUGUUUAUGAAAUCCUUCCUGUAUUAAAAAAAAAACAAAAGCAGGUUCUUCAAAAAUAUUCUAGAUGAAACAGAUAGUUAGAUAAAGCAAAGCUAGUAGAUAAAGCAAACUUACAUGAAUGAGAAUUCUUUAGAAACAAACAAAGAAAGGAGUUAAUCCUUAAAUGAAUACUCGAAAAACUAGGCACUAAUUGCCUUGAAUAUGCGAAACAAAUACCAAGAUAUCCAUAGAUAUGGAACAAGAAAGUGUCAUGCCAUGUUAUGAAGUAAAAAGUACAUUAGUUAGCUAUCAAGACAGCGAAUACAGACCCAUUACUAGAAGCUACGCUAAGAGAUGAUGUAGGAGCUGCAGUUGUACUGGCACUAGAAGCUGUUGUUGCUGCAGAAGUUGUAGCAGGGGCACCUUAAAAAGAGGUUGUCAAAAAUUAUUCAACACAACAUCCCAUUCCUUAAGCAUAAAACCAGAAAUGCACAACAACGUAUCAGCUUCCUGUGUUAGUUUCUACAUGAAUUAAACAUAACAAUACCGUGUAUGCCAUAUUUAUGUGCUAAGAGAUGAUAAGAAGAUGCGAACUACUCGGCAAGUCAAGAAUGCCUAUAUUAUGACAACAAUCCAACAAUCCAAGUGCCCAGGACAAGCAGCACAGGGAAGUCAAUGUCAUAAAAAAAAGGGAAGAGCUGCGAUGAGAUACUGCAAAAGGUGCAAACUCCCUGCAUAAUGAUUUUUUUGGUUUCAUUAACGUAGCAUGUGCACCGGAAUAAUAUAUUUCGAAGCAGAAAUGGGGAUAACUUCCAGAUAAUACCAUGAAGAGUAUUUCUUCUUUUUACCAAGCUUAUGCAGAAACGUUAAAAAGGAUUCAACAAUUAAUUUUUUUAUAAUUUUUAGUGUAAAGAAAUGAAAGGGUCAGAUUCUAUUCGUGAUUGCAGCAGCAAGUCACGUCUUGGCAUGAACAUUUCUCCUUACAAUAAUAUUUUCAUAGAACUUAUUGUAAUAGGUAACUAUACAGUCAAGACUCCUGUAUGAAGAACUAGAGAAUGACAGAAUAAAUGUAUGUGCAAGCAAAAGAUUGCGUGUUUAUACAAAGCAAAGGGAAAAAAUAUCUGUUCCGUGUUACCCACCUUGUGUUCACCAAUAUUGCAACGCAUAUAGCAACCCCCAACCCCAAAAACCCACAAAACCAAAAAAGUAGUAAAAUGAAAAAUGGAAACUCUUUCUUCACUGCAAGCACCUCUAGAAGCACUGUGCACAAGGAUGCUCAAGUAUGUGUCGAAAGUAUACAUGUGACAACUGGACAACGAACAAUGCCAAUGAGUGUCCCCAAGGGAAGAUGGGAUAUUGUGAUUAGAAGAUCCAUUUACUUCUUAUUCAGGACUUUUUAACCUACUGCUUCACAUUUGGAGCCACUAAGAAAAUCUUUUGAUUCACAUAUGGAGGUAAUGAAAACGGUGAGAGGAAUCAGGAUCCACAAACUGAUAUCUCAUCGUACUAACCAAAACAGACAACAAGGCAACGCCCUUGAAACUAGAAGGAAUAUGCACAUGUAGAAUAAGCAUGCGUCAUGAUGCAGAGCAGACCUACAAUUGGCACUUCUUAUGUAUUUACGAGGGAAUUUCAACUUCAUCAUGCUAGUUCAAACGCAGUCUCAGUAGAAACUCACUAAAAGCAGAGACGGUGGUGGCAGAAGGUGCUUGAGAUGAAGCUGUCCCAAACAAUGGCGCCCUAGAACUAGCGGCUGAAGCAGUUCCUCCAAAUGAGCACGCUAUAAAGCAGGCCGCGGAGGAAGACGGCGUCCCAAACAAAGGCGGAGCGGCGGUUGUAGUCGACGUUGAUGACGACGUUGGAGCCGCACCGAACGGUGGCGAGCUUGCACUCGAAGACGUUCCGAAAAGAGGCACACCGGAAGUGGCCGCUCCAGAAAAGGACGAACCCGAGCUCGCACUGAAAGAGGGCGCAGGCGUACCGAACAGAGAAGAAGCGGAGGUCCCCGACGAGCAGAACAAUAUCGAAGGAGAACUCGACUCGAACGGCGACACGCUCACGGCAGGCUGAGCCAUUCCGAAGGGCGACGAUCCUCCGGACGCGGCCGACGACGGCGUGCCGAAGAGCGACGGCGCCGAAGCCGCCGGCGUGGAGCCGAAUGAGAACGAAGGAGCGGAGAACGCCGACGAAAUCGACGAAGAGGAAGAGAGGCGAAAGAAGGGAGCGGGAGCGGGGGACGAGCUAGGGUUGGAGACGGCGGCGGCGGCGAAGGGAGAGGGAGAGGCGGAGGAGGGGGCGAAGAAGGAGAGAGGGGAGGCGGAGGCGGAGGCGGAGCUAGGGUUUGCGGCGGAGGAAGGAGCGAAGGUGAACCCAGAGGAGGAUCCGAAGGGGGACGCGGUUGCGACGGAGGAGGACCCGGCCGCGGCGGCGGAGGGCCCGAACGAGAAACCCGACAUCGUCGGAGCGGUUACUUUCUUUCCCUCCUUUCUUUCUCUGUAAGUUAGAGAGAGUGCGUAAAAAUGACGGGGGGUUUAGGAGAAGCGGGCCGCGCCAUGGGGUUUUUGGUCCCUCAAUUUUUUGAAUUUUUUGAAUUUUUUUAUAUAUUGACAAAAAUAUAAAAAUGAUAAUUUCACUAUUAUUUAAAUCCCAAAAACAGUCCGACCAAAAAAAAAAAAUAAUCCAAAAACAGACAUUUAGGAUGCAUUUCGUAACCAUUCUAUUUCGGGAACAAUUUCUGAGCAAAAGAACACGUUUGGUAACUGCACAAAAUUUCUGAUUCUAGAAUAGAAAAAAAAAAUACAUUUUGUAACUAUAUAAAAUUUCCAUUCCAAUUUUUUUCAAUUACUUUUUUGGAUGAAUAUAAAUUUGAUAUUGAAUUCUCAUAAACCAUUCAUUGAUAUAAUUGUUUUCUUAUUAAUGAAGAAAUCAUAUUAUAUUUUAUUAUAUUUUCAAUUUCAAAAGAAUUCGAAUUUAGAAUUCUAUUCCAUUCUAAAAUUCUAUCAAAUCAUAGAAAUUCUAUUGAUUAAUUAUAUUUAUACUAAGUAAUAAAAAUAUUAACUAAUCAAAUUUUUAUUAAAUAGUAAAUAAUAAACUAUAUUAUAAACUAUAAAUAUAAAUACUAAAUAAUAAAUUAAAAUAGAUAUUUAAAUAUGUAUUCUAUACAUAGCAAAAUUUCAAUUCCUACUUUAAAUUUUUUUAUUUUUUAAAUAAUUUUAUUUAAAUAAUUCUUCUUCUUCUUCUUCUUAGGCCAAGCUCGCUCAGCCGCCAGCGGGGCUUAACCUCGCCAGAUAUGGCCGAGGUUGAGCCUCACCUGGCUAAGCGAGGCUCGCUGGUGGCUGGGCGAGCCUUCGGCAAGCUCGCCGGUGACUAGUGGCAACGGACAGCAACAGGCGGUGGCAACACUUGAAGAACAAGGGAGAGGGAAGAAGAAAAAGAAAAAAAAAAUAGGUCGACUUAAUUCUAGAAUUGUUCCUGGGAACAAAAUUUUUACCAAACGCAUUUCUGUUCCAAAUCUACUCUUAGGAACAAAAAACUGAAACAAGCACUGUUUGGCAAGUCAAAUAGGCCCUUAGCUCUGUUUGGCAACUUGCCAAAUAAUAACAAUUUCUAUUUUUUUUUAUUCCCGGGAGUAGAUUUGGAAUAGAGAUUCAUUUGGUAAAUUUUUUGUUCGCGAGACCAAAUUUCUAUUUUUUGUUCUCGGAAGUAGAUUUUGGAAUAAAAUCGAGAAGUAAAAAAAGUUGAUUCUUUAUUCCCAGGAACAAUUCUAAAUCAAGUUAACAUAUUUUCUCUCUUUUCUUUUUUUUUUUCUUCUUGUUCUUCUUCCCUCUUUCUUCUUCUUCAAUGCUUCUACCGCCGCUGUUGUCGCCGCCGUCUGCCACCCACCGUCGCCGAUCGCAAGCGAUUGGUUGGGCCAAGUCCAGAGAGCUCACCAAGGGCCGAGAGUGCUCCGGUGAAGCCCAAGCCCUAAGCGUCGACUGGUUUACUUUAUUUUAGUGACUGAACUCUAAAUUUUCCGGGAAAUAAUCCAUAGUAAGGACAUGGAGACUUUUGGGUCUGUUGAUUAUUUUUGUCGUCCUUAGACAUAUUUUCUAAAGAGCACAAGGCCUGUUUAGCUCUUGCGGAGUUUCUUUGAACAUGCUAUGGAGCAGGUCCGGUGACAUUUUCGAAAUUGUUUCUAGAUGGAACAAGGAAACUGUUUCCAGUUUUAAAUUUUGAAGAAUGAAUUUGUGAUGUUGUAUUUACUUCUUUAAAGUUAAAAGCAUUGUAAUCUCCAGGUAAAACACUUAGUAUAUAUACACUCGAGUCCUCUAAGUCUAAGCUGAUCUCGCGCUUCCGCUCUUGAAGGUGAGUUUAGAUUCAACACUUCUUUGAAGCAACGGUAUGUGUCCUAUCUACUUCUCCUGAAAUUGAGUAGUUAUCUCUUUUCCCUCUCUGUACUUUCUUUUUCUUGAAAAAUAUAUUUGAACCGAUACAUGUUGUUUGGGUGAGUACGCUCAUUAAGCUUAAUAUUACAGAUCUAAACCCUUCAUUGAAGCUGUAGUUUCAUGAAGCUUUAAAUAAAACUCCAUUGUAAAGCUUCAUUGUGAUAGAUUAUAAACAUCCCUUUUAUGUGAAUUGUGUAGGUAAGGCAACAACAAGGAAAAAAUAUAUGUCAACUGUCUAGAUAGAAAGUUGUGAACUUCAUGUACUUGUAGCUGCAAACUUCUAGACUGAAUCUCAUGCAAUGCAUUCAAUCGAGGAUAUAUUAAUGAUUAAUGUUUAGUCUAUCAGACUUAAGUAACUAGUGCAUAUAUUAUCAGAUAUUUGUAUAUUUAGAACAGAGUAUUAUUUUCAUAUAUGAAAGCUAGCUUAGGAAUUUCAUCUUAUUUUAGGAUUUUAUUUGCGUGCAUUAUUUAAUUAGUGAUAAAGGUACAGAGUUUCAAGUGAUUUUUUUUUGGUAAAAAAGUUUCAAGUGAUUUAAUUAUUCCGAAUGCUGAUACUAAAUAGAUUAGAUAAGAUGUAUGUGUAGUGGAUGAUUAGGCAUUGUGAUGAAAGAAAUGAUACAAAAGAUGAUGAAAGAAAUGAUACAAAAGAUUCUCUUUGAAGGGACGAUGCUAGAUAAACCUGACAUCAUUGACCCAUGGACUAUUUUCUUUGGUACAUAUGUGGACAUUCUGAUGGAGGAGAUGACCCAAAAGAUUGGUUUCCCCGGGAGUCAAAAGUAAAAUUAGAUGGUUCGAUUUGUCUUUUGAUAGUAGGAUGCCCCAAAGCAGCUGGAGAAUUGACAUUGGACUUCAUAAUUUGAGGAAAUGCCAAAGACAAGUGAACUUGUUUAAUAAUCAAGAAAUCUUUGAAAAGCUUUGUGAAAUCAAAUUCCCAUACUUGAUACUUGAACGCUAAUGGUUACUUCCGAGUUUUUCGAAGAGAAUGAGGGAGGUAGAAGAAAUGUUUUACAGCUUUCAUUUUAAAGGUUUUAGUUGCAUGAAUUUAAUUGAGAUUAUGGUUUCCAUCUUGGAGAUGAGGUGAGCUCUUGUGGCACAGCUUUUAUUUUGAUAUCUCAAACUUUGAAUUUGUUGUUUUCUUUAUCAAAGAGAAAAAGAAUGUUAUAAAAAAUAUUGUUGUUUUCUUUUCUUUGUUAAGGAAAACGGCUCUAGAUCAAUAAACAAUCAAAAUCUAUGUUCACAAUAAGCUACACGUUAUCUCUAAGUUGGCAUCUCUUCAAAAUUUACACUUGGCUGCCGGAGCUUUUGAAAAUAAUGCCACUAAAGUCUUUAAAAAUAAAGCUUAGAAUAUUUUCUUCUACCAGUUUCCUGAUCUCUUUUCAAGUGCUCUAUCAUCUCUCCAUUCAAUUCUUGCUGUCAAAACUGAUCAUUAGCCCAUACUGCUCUCGAAGGAAUUCCUAUGGUCAAAUAGAUAAACCCGAGACUAAUAAUACGAAACUCAUUGUGAGCCUGAAUUUUGGUUUGGAUGAAAAUGGUUGCAAGUUUUCUUUCCUCUUACGUUAUCUGAUAUCACAAAAUUUCAUUUGAAUGUCAACUUUUGCCUUUCCAGUAUAGGACAUGUUUCGGGAGGACAUAAAGAUUAGCAGCAAUCUUUCUCUAUGGUUUUUAGGUUUAAUACAUCUCUGGUGCUUUUCAUCAUGCCUGCCCAUGAAGAGCAAGGGUUAGAUAAUUCUAAUAUAAGCCAUGGCAUGCUUCAAUUGUGAAUUUAAUGUGAGACAUAUAAAGACGGGUUAACAAAUUUGAUUCACAGGGGUGCAUGGAUAUGACUUGCUUGUUAAAACAGCUAGUUAUAGUUUUUCACAUUAGAAUACUAGUUUUUUAAUGAAGCUCUACGCCUCUAGCAUUGCCCUUUUAGUUAUGCAAUAUUCAAUUGCCUCCAUAUAGAUGCCCAACAUGAUAAUGCCCUUCUAGUUAUGCAAUAUUCAAUUUCUUCGAUAUAGAUGCACAACAUGAUAAUUAACAAUGUGAAUUCUGUGAUGACAUUCUUAAGAUAAUGUACAUGAGUUUACUGCAGCAUUAUACAAAAUAUACUAGUUUCCUUUAUCUCUUCCAUAAUAGAAAUGUUCAGUAAAACCUCAAUGGUGUCGGUCGUCUCCAUAUACAUGAAUGGUAGCCUGCUUUAAUAUUGAUCGUGUUUCAUAGUACAUUUCAUCCGAAAUAAUUUUUCACCUACACAGCAAGUUGUAUUUCUUAAAUUAUUUUUUUCUGAGUUCUUACAUUGAUGUCAUAAAGAGAACUUAAACCAGGUCAAAGCCUGGCAUCAAUUGAUGCACAUAGUUUUUGAGAAGAUAUACCGCUAUUUGUACAAACAGCAGAUCUUGUGUAAAACGUAAUUUUUCUGAAAUUUGCCAUAAUUAACGAGAAAUUAUUCCAAGGUCGAUCACACGUACAUGUAAUAGUUUGACAUUGUGGUUGUAAUUUGAUAUAUAUACCGUCGUUGUAAUCCUUAUGCACUUAUCACUAAUAAUCGCAGGCCCUGAUGAACAAUUUUGAUCCUAUUUUGUAACUAAUUUCAAGAUAAGCUUGUUCGCUUAUGUUUUUGGUAAGGAGCUUGUUCGCUUAUGUUUAGCUUAAGUAAAAUGUACUUUUUGAAUUUCCCAUCAAUCUUUAAUAUAUAAUUUUAAAUUUUUAAAAAAAUGUAUAUGUAACUAUAUAUGUCAGUAUCAGUAUAUCACUAAGAAGUCGGUGCAUUCGUGUCAAGAUCUAAAUUAGAUACAAAAAGUCAAAAAGAAAAAGUACAUGCAAACACAUUAUAACAUUUAUCAGAAAAUCUUUCACUUUGUUUCGAUUAAACUCAGUGGAUAAGCUAGAGAAACGAGAAGCAUUACUUUAUCGAAACAAAACUUUCAAUUUUCACUUUCAUUGUCACUCUCACAAUUUUUGCCCAGAAAGGCACUUAAUUCGAAUACGUUCUAACCUUUGCAAUCGAUAUAUUAUUUUGGUUUUUAUCACGAUGAUCUAUUUAUUCAUCUUUGAAAAUGUAUCCCCCCUAUAGAGUAAUUCUAGUAGGCUAUUAAAAGAGAGUGCCUCCAGUGCUACUUUUUGAUUGUUUUAGGAAACUGAUAAUUUUUCAUUAAAUAUUCGAUACUACUUCGGUUUGUGUUGAAACCGCAAGCGAAAGUGAUUUUACGGUUGUUAUAUCAAGCCUCAAUCACUAAAUUUUUCAAAUUUCAAUAGGCCGACUGAACUAAUUUUGUUAAGUAACUCGUUAUAUUUUAUACUAUCCUAGCCCUUGCAAAGUUAUCUUCCACUUGAAACUUUGCACCGUAAAUGGGAUCGCAACAUUUGAACGAAUUAUAAGUAACUGUGGCAUAUGAGAAAUUCAAAAUAUUAAUCCUCCAUAUUUGUUUAUAUCUUGCAUAUUCCAACCUUUUAUUAUUAUAUCUCUUACAAAUCUCACACCAUAUAUUAUAUCUCUUACGAAUAUCACACCAUAAAAAUUUGAUUCCUUACAGUAUUUUCAACUUAAUUUUUAUUUUACAGAUUUUUAAUAAUAUUGUGAGGCCAAUAUUGUUUAUGGGUACUGAAAAUUAAUUAAAGAACAGGUCUACUUUACUUGAUUUAUAUUGUUGUUUUCAAAAUCUCAUGUAUUUUCCGGGUUUGAUGAGCAUUGUAUGAAUAAUAUUUGACUGUGCAUGCACUGCACAAUUCACCGGCAUAUGCUAAAAGAUCGACUCGUGUAAAUGCCAACAACAAAAAAACUCUAUUUAUAAAAGGCAAUUACAUACAUUUAAGUUUACAAACUUCAUGAGGGAAACUGGCGAAGCAAAAUAGGGCCAACAGGAUUAGGCACCAUCACGCAAUGAGGCCUCACACACCCACCGACGCAAGCUCUCCCCACUGGCUCAGCGUGAUCUCUCUGGGCUUCUCGGGAUCUUUGCGGAGUAUAACUUUGACUAAUUUCUUCAGCCCCAUGUAACCCAAUGACGGGUUCCGCCACCUCCCCACCGCCAGCAUACGGAGAUCAACCAUGCGCAACACAGCAAGCCCAUAGUCGUCGCUCAGCUUUGUUGCGACAUCCUCGAUGCCGACACCGACGAAUGUAUAGUUGGGAUUCGUGAGAAAUGCAUGGACACUGUGUAGUUGGGAUUCGUGAGAAAUGCAUGGAGAGACCCAGGGAUGUACUCGGCGUGGAGGAUUUGAAAGAUGAGGCGACUGUGGCCGACGCACAGUUGCAGUGUAGCCACAGGGUGGAUGACGCCUGGCUCGAGGUUCGGGCGCCACUCAAUGUCGAGGCCAACGACAAGCCGAUUCAGCCAAGGCAGGUAGGCUCGCUCCACGUCGUUGAUCCAACGUGUGACGAUGGAGGGGUCGUAGGUGAUGCAAGCGUAAAUUUGCUGGCCGUAGGAGGUGAUCUUGUGAAGAGAAUGCAUCUUGACGGGUUCUGAAACGUGAGAAAUGAGGAAGACAGGACUGUCGAGUGGCGAUUAAAAAAACUGAGAGAGCAGAGAGUAUCGCAAGUGAGAAAACUAGAAACUGUUAUUAUGUUGGGUUUAGAAUUGAGGACGUGUGCGUUAAGGGGUUGUUUGGUAACCAUUCAAACAGUACCUGAUUUUGAUUUUUGUUCCCAAUAGUAGUUUUGGAAUAGAAUCGCGUUUGAUUAAAUUUUUGUUCCCUAGAAUAAAUUUCUAUUUUUUUGUUCUCAGAAGUAGAUUUGGAACAUAAUAAAAAAAAAAAAUUGAUUCUUGUUCCGGGAACACAUCUAAGAAUCAAAAUCAACUCUUCUUCUUCUUCUCUUUUCUUCUUCUUCAUCAACCGCCAUCUCGCAAUUGUUGUCCACCGCCGUCCACUGCUGUCGCCACCGGUCCGGUGAGCUCACCGGGCUAGGGUGAGGUCCGAAGAGGCACGCCCAGCCUCGCCGGUGGCCAGGUAGGCCUCGCCCAACCCCGCCGAGGCCGACCUAGCCAUCGGCAAGGGUCGGCCAAUGAGGGUUGGCCUCGGCGACUGGCCACUUGAAAAAGAAGAAGAAUAAGAGAAAAGGGGAAAAAAGAAAAGAAAAAAAUAAGUAAAAAGUAAAAAAAAUUAUUUAAAAAUUAAAAGAAAUUGAUUUGGAAUAUAAUCAAUGAGCAAAGUACCAAACACAACUCUAUUCCAAAAUCUGAAAUUUUGAACAAUUACCAAAUGACUUAAAAUGCUUAGAAAUUGUUUCCGGAAACAUAAUAAAAAAGAAUAAUUUUUUAUCAGAAUCUGUUACCGAGAAUAGAAUCGUUACCAAAUGCGUCCUAAGUAGCUGCAAGAUGGAGUUAAAAUAGGAAACGUUUACGUUAUUUAAAAUAGGAAAUAUUUACAAAGUUCCACGUGGGAUUAAAUUGUAAAUGGGAAACGGGCUUGUGUUUAUAUUAGGAAAUUUUUACCUUCUCCAAUCAAAUUUGAAAUGUUUCCCUUUUUAAAGAUAAAUGAUACUUACCCAUUUCUUGCGAGCAUCGUUAAUACGAGUGCGUGCCGUUAGCAAUUAAAUAAUUUCCUCCUAUUGAAGAAUUUAUGAAGGAUCUGGCAUGAGACACUUGUACAUGUAAAAGAAAAUCAUGGCCAUUCUUGGAAUGCUAUUUAUUCGAGAAUUUUUUUUCUAGAUUUCGACAUGUAUAUUUUAGACAUAAGUCAUUCUCCAUUCAUCUGGCUAUGUUUUCAUUUUAUAAUGAGACUAACAAAGUUCUAUUAUAAGUUGGGAUUUUGCUAAGGAGGGCUGCUUGCCGUUUGGUGAUAAUUUAUGAAUGUUUCGUACCAAUGUAAUGGAGCUCAAAGAAACUAAGGGCGUGCAUGGAAACGUUUCUUAGAAACGUUUCCGGAACACUUCUGUACGGAAAGUGUUCCCGGGAACAAAAAAGGAACAGAAACGCGUUUGGUUGCGUUUCUGUUCUUUUUUUGUUUUUUUGUUUCUGGAACGAAAUAAGAACAAAAAAAAGAAACAACAAUUUGUUGUUUCUUGCUCCAGAAACAUUUCUUGAAGAAACAUUUCUCUUCUCUCUCUUCUUCUUCUCUUCUUCUUUUCUUCUUUUUUUUCUUCUUUUUUCUUUCGCCGGUCGCCGGCCUCGGCCAUGGCCGGCGACCGGCCGUCGAGGCGAGCCUCGCCGGAUCUGGGUGAGCCCGAGCUCGCCCAGCCAAGGCGAGGCUCAGCCUCACCCGCGCCGGCGACGCCCCCGUCGGCAGGUCGCCGGAGGCCGGUGACCGGCCGAAAAAAAGAAAAAAUAAAAAGAAAGGAAAAAAUAAAUAAUAAAAUAAAAAUGUUUAAAAAAUUAAAAGAAACAUAAAAAGAAUAAAAUUUACCAAACGUGUUUCUAUUCAUUUUUUAUUCCCGGACCAAACGUUACCAAACGCGUUCUUUUGUUCAAAAAUUGUUCCCCGGAACAGAAACACUUUUUUUUGUUUCUAUUUCCAGGAACAAAAAAGAAACAGAAUUGUUUCCAUGCGCAGCCUAAAAUUCUCAAUCCAAAUUCAAAUUCAAAUUCAAAUUCCUCCUUUGCGCCUCCAAUUUUAGAUUGUAUUAUUGGAAUGAAAUAUCACCUAUAAGAGUAUGAUUAUGAUGAUAUUGAUCUUACAACAUUUUGACAUAGGAGAAUUACAGAUUAUACUAGCGUGCUACUAAAAGAAAGUACCUCAAGUGCUACACUUCGAUUUUUUUGGAUAGUUAGAACUUUUUAGUUUCGCGUGAAAUUUUCAAUACCACCUCCCGAUUGUGUUAAUAAAACAAAUUGAAAGUGAGUUUUAUGUUUGUUGUAUCAAGCCUAAAUCAUCAACUUUUUCAAAUUUUAAUUGACCAACUAACCAAAUUUUGUCAAAUGAAUUGAUAAUUGGUUAAAUUAUAUUGGCCCCGCGCAGAGCUAUUGGUCCCAGCUAUGGUUGAAUCCAUAUCGGAAGAUAUGAAAAUCCGGAAGCCACUGAAUUAACUCAAAUUGCAUAUGAAUACAAAAUAUUACAAGGAUUAGCCAAAAUAAUAAUAACAGAAAUAAAAGUACCAUCAUCAAAUGAAAUUCGAACUAUGGUGGUAGGUACUUAUUUGGCCAAAUAUAAAGAAAAUUGGAAACAGUCGCUCAUUGAAUAUUAAAAGAUCAGAGUCAAUGAAGGGACAAAAAACUCAAAAGACAAACAUUAAAAUAUGUCAUGCAUGUGAAUCUAGAUGGUUUGGAUGGAAUUUGAGCAUCGGCACUAAAGCAUACUGUCAUGCAAAAGAAAGGAGUCGCCUAGGCUUACAACAACAAAUACGUUAAAAUUGACUAAAGUACAGCCCAAACACCAAAACUUGGUACGAGGGACACUUAAGUGCCAAAAGUUUUGAAAAAUACAAUUAAGUACCAAAAUCAGAGUAAAAUGGAUCAUUUAAGUGCUAAUCCGACUAAAUUGCUAACGUAACAAUUUUCCGGCAAGGUGAGUGCAAAACGGCGUCGUUUUGCAUGCUGACGUGGCUAGAAAAUGCAAAAACGACAUCGUCUUGUCUCUGAUGUGGCAAAUAAUUAAUGUAAAAAUUAAAUUAAAAAUUAAAUUUAUUUUAAAUAUUUUUAAAAAUAAAAAACUUAAAAUAAAAUUUGGGGGGGGGGGGGAAGGGAGGCGGCUGAGGGCUAAGCCCUCACUGCCAUCGCCUCCCCGCUACUGCCAGGAAGGGUUGGCGACGGAGGGGGUGAGAAAUCGAGGAUGCAGAUGAAGAAGAAUGAAAUCGGAUGAUGAUGAUGGAAAAUGAACUUAGCAGGAGAAGGAUCUGUACAAGAAAUGUUCUCUCUUUAUAUCUUUGUAUCAAAAUCUCAUAUUUGUUCCAAGUAUCGAAAGCAACAAAGCAAUACAAAUCCUCUGUUCUUCCUCUCUCCUCUGUUCUGGUUAUCUGUUCCUAUCUCUAGACGAGCUUAAUUCUUUCUAUAUAUAUCAUACGAAGAGAAGCUAGAAAUCCCAAUAACAGAAAAAACGAACUAACAGACUUUUACAGCUAUUUACAACAGAAUAGCAACUUGUUAACAAAUCAAGCUUGGCGAUCCAUGUCUUCUACAUUAUAUAAUCUUCACCGUUGAUUAGUCUGGCUAUCCGUGCCUUCUGCAUCAACUCAUGUCAGUCUUCUGGCGAUCCGUGUCUUCCAUUGUUGAUCAUCAGCUGACUUUAGAUGUAGUAGAGUAAGAUAAGGAUCUUGAUCCUUUAACAGGGGGAGGGUCGGCCGGAGUCGCCGGCCCCUGGCCGAUUGACGGCGAGGGUCGGCGGCCCUCACCUGGUCGAGCCAAGGGCCGCCGCCCGCUGGGGCGACCCCUCAACAAGCAAUGACCCUUGGCCUGCCCGGGCAAGGGCCGCCGACCCUUGCCCCAGAUCCGAUGAGGGCUCGCAAGCCCUCGUCACAAGUCAACCAGGGGCCAACAAUUUGGGCGAGGGUCGCAACCCUCGCCGCCGGUCGACCAAGGGCCAAUGACCCCGACAGACCCUCCCCCUCCGUCGCCGGCCCUUCCCGAUGAGGGCUCAACCCUCAGCUGCCUCCCUUCAAUCCCCUUUUUUAAAAAAAAAAUAUUUUAAAUAAAUUUAGUCUUAAAUUUAAUUUAAUUAAUUUUUAUAUUAAUUAUUUUCUACAUCAUAGUCAAAACGACGACGUUUUUGCAUUUUCUAGCCACAUCAGCGUGCAAAAUGGCGCCGUUUUACACUCAUCUCGCCAGAAAAUUGUCACGUCAGCAAUUUAACCAGAUUGGCACUUAACUGAUCAAUUUUGCUCCAAUUUUAGCACUUAAGUGUACCUUUCGAAUCUUUUGACACUUUAAAUAUCCCUCUGUAUCAAGUUUUGGCACUCGGGGUAUACUUUAGUCCUUUAAAAUUAAACUAUUGCCAUUGGUGAUUUGGUAUGUAGACUUUUUUGCGUGUUAAUUGCAAAAGCGAUUAAUUCGAUAAGCAUUCGCCAACUUCAGAAAGGCCCAUAGUCGGUGCUAAAUGUGCUAAGUGGCAAUGCCUAUCGAUUGAUGGACUUGGAUGGUGAAAUAUUACCACAACCGAUUAAUGGCAAGUACCUAAAAAGUUUCUUAUCCAACUAUGUGACAGAUGCAAGAGAUAUAGGAGAAAUGAAACAUACAGCUUCUUCAAACAGACAGUCGAGAUGUAAAGAGAGCUAGCUAGAUUACUAUGUAUUCCGGAUCAUCAAUCAACUUCUUCACACUUCUCCUGAAAUCCGAAAGGUCUUCAUCCAAUGUCUUGUUAUUAGCAACACAUACUCUUCUGAUGGAUAAAUGCCUGUCGACUUCCGUUUGUUGUCGAUCAUAUUCCUGCAUGGUUGUGACGACAUCCCGAAGCUGUUGCUUCAUAGACCUCCCUUCACGCUGAACU
Molecule: long non-coding RNA, 14945 nt
Filed under: Eucalyptus grandis
Lineage: Eukaryota; Viridiplantae; Streptophyta; Magnoliopsida; Myrtales; Myrtaceae
Description: long non-coding RNA (EGRA_LNC002492)
Source: RNAcentral